RNAcentral lists this ribosomal RNA (403 nucleotides) under uncultured bacterium. Its description in RNAcentral is "bacterial SSU rRNA". It matches the Rfam family "Bacterial small subunit ribosomal RNA", at positions 917 to 1322 of the family's 1533-position model. The record is from RNAcentral.
GGGCCCGCACAAGCGGCGGAGCAUGCGGAUUAAUUCGAUGCAACGCGAAGAACCUUACCAAGGCUUGACAUAUAGAGGAAAAGUGCAGAAAUGCACUCCCCGCAAGGUCUCUAUACAGGUGGUGCAUGGUUGUCGUCAGCUCGUGUCGUGAGAUGUUGGGUUAAGUCCCGCAACGAGCGCAACCCUCGUCCUAUGUUGCCAGCACGUAAUGGUGGGAACUCAUGGGAUACUGCCGGGGUCAACUCGGAGGAAGGUGGGGAUGACGUCAAAUCAUCAUGCCCCUUAUGUCUUGGGCUUCACGCAUGCUACAAUGGCCGGUACAGAGGGCUGCAAUACCGCAAGGUGGAGCGAAUCCCAAAAAGCCGGUCUCAGUUCGGAUUGCAGGCUGCAACUCGCCUGCAUG